GUUAUAUAGUCAAGCGACUAAGCGUACACGGUGGAUGCCUUGGCAACUAGAGGCGAUGAAAGACGUUGUAGCCUGCGAUAAGCUACGGGGAGUCGGCAAACAGACUUUGAUCCGUAGAUCUCUGAAUGGGGAAACCCACUCCUUAGGGAGUAUCUUGCACUGAAUACAUAGGUGACAAGAGGCAAACCCGGUGAACUGAAACAUCUAAGUAACCGGAGGAAAAGAAAUCAAUUGAGAUUCCCUGAGUAGCGGCGAGCGAAAGGGGACCAGCCCUAAAGUGCUGGUGUAGGUAGGAGAAGGCUCUGGAAAGUGCCGCCAUAGUGGGUGAUAGCCCCGUAUCUAAAACCUUAUCCAGUAUUAUUCGAGUAGGUCGGAGCACGUGAAACUUUGACUGAACAUGGGGGGACCAUCCUCCAAGGCUAAAUACUCCUAGUUGACCGAUAGUGAACCAGUACCGUGAGGGAAAGGCGAAAAGAACCCCGGUGAGGGGAGUGAAAUAGAACCUGAAACCGUGUACGUACAAGCAGUCAGAGCGGACUUGUUCCGUGAUGGCGUACCUUUUGUAUAAUGGGUCAGCGACUUAUAUUCUGUAGCAAGGUUAAGCAUAUUGUGGAGCCGUAGGGAAACCGAGUCUUAAUAGGGCGUUCAGUUGCAGGGUAUAGACCCGAAACCCGGCGAUCUAUCCAUGAGCAGGUUGAAGAUCAGGUAACACUGAUUGGAGGACCGAACCCACUGUCGUUGAAAAGCCAGGGGAUGACUUGUGGAUCGGAGUGAAAGGCUAAUCAAGCCGGGAGAUAGCUGGUUCUCCUCGAAAUCUAUUUAGGUAGAGCGUCAUGUAUUACCCACGGGGGUAGAGCACUGUUAAGGCUAGGGGGUCAUCCCGACUUACCAACCCUUUGCAAACUCCGAAUACCGUGGAGUACAGCAUGGCAGACACACUGCGGGUGCUAACGUCCGUUGUGGAAAGGGAAACAACCCAGACCGUCAGCUAAGGUCCCAAAGUUAUGGUUAAGUGGGAAACGAUGUGGGAAGGCCCAGACAGCUAGGAGGUUGGCUUAGAAGCAGCCACCCUUUAAAGAAAGCGUAAUAGCUCACUAGUCGAGUCGGCCCGCGCGGAAGAUAUAACGGGGCUCAAACCAUACACCGAAGCUACGGGUUCACCGAAUGGUGAGCGGUAGAGGAGCGUUGUGUAAGCCGUUGAAGGUGAAUUGAGAAGUUUGCUGGAGGUAUCACAAGUGCGAAUGCUGACAUGAGUAACGAUAAGGGGGGUGAAAAACCUCCCCGCCGGAAGACUAAGGGUUCCUGUCCAAUGCUAAUCAGGGCAGGGUUAGUCGGCCCCUAAGGCGAGGCUGAGAAGCGUAGUCGAUGGGAAACGGAUUAAUAUUUCCGUACUUGUAAUUAUUGCGAUGGGGGGACGGAGAAGGCUAGGCUAGCUGGGCGUUGGUUGUCCCAGUUUAAGGUUGUAGGCUGAGAACUUAGGCAAAUCCGGGUUCUUAAGGCCGAGAGCUGAUGACGGUGACUCUACGGAGUCCGAAGUAGUCGAUGCCAUGCUUCCAGGAAAAGCCUCUAAGCUUCAGAUAAUUACAAACCGUACCCUAAACCGACACAGGUGGUCAGGUAGAGAAUACCAAGGCGCUUGAGAGAACUCGGGUGAAGGAACUAGGCAAAAUGGUACCGUAACUUCGGGAGAAGGUACGCCGGUCGAUGUGAAGGACUUGCUCCGUAAGCAUUGACCGGUCGAAGAUACUAGGUGGCUGCGACUGUUUAUUAAAAACACAGUACUCUGCAAACACGAAAGUGGACGUAUAGGGUAUGACGCCUGCCCGGUGCCGGAAGGUUAAUUGAUGGGGUUAGCUUCGGCGAAGCUCUUGAUCGAAGCCCCGGUAAACGGCGGCCGUAACUAUAACGGUCCUAAGGUAGCGAAAUUCCUUGUCGGGUAAGUUCCGACCUGCACGAAUGGCGUAACGACGGCCACACUGUCUCCACCCGAGACUCAGUGAAAUUGAAAUCGCAGUGAAGAUGCUGUGUACCCGCGGCUAGACGGAAAGACCCCGUGAACCUUUACUAUAGCUUCACAGUGGACUUUGACAUUACUUGUGUAGGAUAGCUGGGAGGCUUUGAAGCGUGGACGCCAGUCUGCGUGGAGCCAAUCUUGAAAUACCAGCCUGGUAAUGUUGAGGUUCUAACUCAGGUCCCUCAUCGGGAUCGAGGACACUGUGUGGUGGGUAGUUUGACUGGGGCGGUCUCCUCCCAAAGAGUAACGGAGGAGCACGAAGGUUGGCUAAUCAUGGUCGGAAAUCAUGAGGUUAGUGUAAUGGCACAAGCCAGCUUAACUGCGAGACUGACACGUCGAGCAGGUACGAAAGUAGGUCAUAGUGAUCCGGUGGUUCUGUAUGGAAGGGCCAUCGCUCAACGGAUAAAAGGUACUCCGGGGAUAACAGGCUGAUACCGCCCAAGAGUUCACAUCGACGGCGGUGUUUGGCACCUCGAUGUCGGCUCAUCACAUCCUGGGGCUGAAGCCGGUCCCAAGGGUAUGGCUGUUCGCCAUUUAAAGUGGUACGCGAGCUGGGUUUAGAACGUCGUGAGACAGUUCGGUCCCUAUCUGCCGUGGGCGUUAGAGAUUUGAGAAGAGUUGCUCCUAGUACGAGAGGACCGGAGUGAACGAACCUCUGGUGUUCCGGUUGUCAUGCCAAUGGCAUUGCCGGGUAGCUAUGUUCGGACAGGAUAACCGCUGAAAGCAUCUAAGCGGGAAGCCCCCUUCAAGAUGAGAUCUCUCUGAUACUUCGAGUAUCCUGUAGGGCCCUUGAAGACUACAAGGUUGAUAGGCAAGGUGUGGAAGCGUUGUGAGGCGUUGAGCUAACUUGUACUAAUUGCCCGUGAGGCUUGACUAUAUAACGCCAAAA
This 2903-nucleotide ribosomal RNA is filed under the name Bermanella marisrubri. RNAcentral's name for it is "23S ribosomal RNA". It matches the Rfam family "Bacterial large subunit ribosomal RNA". Lineage: Bacteria; Pseudomonadati; Pseudomonadota; Gammaproteobacteria; Oceanospirillales; Oceanospirillaceae. The record is from RNAcentral.